CAGAGUGCUGUGUAUUCAUCAGAUAUUCUGGGAUGUUUAAGAGAACAGCAAACCCUUGGUUUCCCAUGUCAUCCUCAAUAGGGUUGAUAGUUAUGGAAUGCAGGUACUGGAAGACUGGAAGACACUAGAAGAUGAGCUUUGCAAUUAUAGUUUCAGGAUAGCACAGCUGGAGAAAAUAAACAUCCCGUCAGAAAAAAGGUGUGGAAAAAACAACUGUGGAAAAGCUGGGGAAGCAAGCAUGUGAAUUUUCUUCAUCAUAAAACUGGGAAAGAUACUGCAAUGGAAAUAUUUCUUUACUUAAACUUGGCUUACAGCACUCAUUUCCCCAGGAUCAAGGCUUGGUGCUGAUAUCUGUCCCUAGACCAAUAUGAAACAGUGGGAGAGAAGUCCUGAGUGCUCACUCUCAGUGAUCAGACCACACAACUUGUGUUUUCAGCCUAAUCUAGAAUUCAUAAAGAUUUAUAGAUGUGCUUUUAAAUUCAGGCUAAGAUGUCUUUAUGGACUUGGCCCCAAGGGAACUGGAAUUGCAUCUCCACCAGCCCAGCCCAGCCAUGCUUUACAGGUGGGUGAGAUUGAAACCCUUUGCUGGUGGAGCAGCUCUGUGUCAUCACAAAUGGAAGUUCUCACCUCAGUACCUGAGUGCAAGACAAGAUCUGGAGUGCUCUCUCUAGUGGUGGCUGGGUGCUCCAAGCAGAGCAGCUGGGGAUUGCUCUCCUCAGUGAUGUUUCUGCCCACCAACAGAAGCUGGUUUGGUAGUUUUGGGUCUGUGUGGCUCAAGGCACAAAGUUUGCUUGAACCUUUUCCUGCUGCUGAAGCUUCACCUUAGUGAGAGGGCCGGCACACUUCUCUUGGUGUGCUGGUAGCACAAGCAAAUUAUUAUCCUAUAUCUGUGAAAACACUCUUGAAUAGCUGUUCUGUCUCCAUCUCUGCUGUUUUCCAUUCCUUUGUCUCUGGCCACAUUUCGAUUACCUGUUCUGGAAAGAGACCCACCCCUGUGUGCUUUCAGCAGUGGAAAAUUUCAAGUUCCUGGCUUUUCUUACUGGUUUCUCUCGUGAAGCAAAGAGUGCCACCACCAGGGCAGGAAAAAUUAACAUGGCAAGAGAAUCUGGGCUUAAAAAAUGUAUUACAAAAACAAUUAGUUAAGAAAUAAUAAGUAAUGCUCCUUGUUCCUCUUUUUCUUUCCAGGCUCUGUGCUCUGAGAUGCCUGGGGACCUCAGCCUCACCAGUUCUGUCUCAGCAGUCAAAAGAGUUGGCACUGUGUUAACUGUGUGCACACAGGCUUAUUUUAAAUAACCUCAUCAGUCUGGAUAAUUCUCAUUGGUUCCCUCUUCUCAGACCUGCCAGAAUUAAAAAAAAAAGGAAAGGUUCUCAGGAAACUUUCCCCAGCAAAACCAGGAUAAUAUUAUUGGCACUUACAUACACUGCUGGUGAGUCUUAUUCGAAAUAGCCUACACAAUUCCAGCUGGAUCAGGGUAGUGGUGGCCAGCUUCAAGGAGAUUUACAGACCUUCCCUUGUUUGGUCUGGCAGGGGGAGGCUGAGAGCGGGGUGUGAUCCCUGCUAAACUCACUGUGGGAUCACAUCAAGAAAGGAGAAGAGCAAGUCACACUUAAGAGUGGUGCUGGCACACUCUCAAAUGGGUAUAAACUGAUCUUGAAUACACUUGGCCUUGGUUUUAGAAGACAGUACCUGCUACCCUGAAGCAGUGAAGCCUUUAAUCAGAAUAGUGUGGGCCAAAAAAAACAAAGUUAGAUUGAAAAAUAGCACUAUUCAUUUUUGGAGGCAGCUGUGUGUUGUAGUGCUGCCAUGGCAGGAAGGUCAAUUCUGUGACCCAGAAGGAUCUAUCAGUCUUAUUUCCAUGUUCCUCACAGCUUUUGUCAGAAAAAUAAAUUGAUAACAAUAUUGACACUAAAAUCACCCUUCAGAGACAAUCUUCAGAGUCUUCAGACUACUGAAAUGAAAGGUGGGAGAUGGGGAGGGGUUUCAUCUUUCA
Passer domesticus (house sparrow) is the source of this 1991-nucleotide long non-coding RNA. RefSeq lists it as uncharacterized. The transcript has 3 exons. Lineage: Eukaryota; Metazoa; Chordata; Aves; Passeriformes; Passeridae. The record is from RefSeq and is a predicted model, not a curated record.